RNAcentral lists this ribosomal RNA (208 nucleotides) under uncultured bacterium. Its description in RNAcentral is "partial 16S ribosomal RNA". It matches the Rfam family "Bacterial small subunit ribosomal RNA", at positions 568 to 774 of the family's 1533-position model. The record is from RNAcentral.
CUCGUAGGCGGUUCGGUAAGUCGGGUGUGAAAACUCAGGGCUCAACCCUGAGACGCCACUCGAUACUGCUGUGACUAGAGUCCGGUAGGGGAGCGUGGAAUUCCUGGUGUAGCGGUGGAAUGCGCAGAUAUCAGGAGGAACACCAGCGGCGAAGGCGGCGCUCUGGGCCGGAACUGACGCUGAGGAGCGAAAGCGUGGGGAGCAAACA